RNAcentral lists this long non-coding RNA (9825 nucleotides) under Monomorium pharaonis (pharaoh ant). RNAcentral describes it as "uncharacterized LOC114255686". The record is from RNAcentral. Lineage: Eukaryota; Metazoa; Arthropoda; Insecta; Hymenoptera; Formicidae.
AAGAGAUUAGUCGUUACGUAAACGGAGGAGAAGCACAAGCAACCACUGUGAUCUCAAUCGACAUUUAUAUCGACGAGAUGAAGAAUGCGGAAUCGCGGUUGGACAAUCGACACUGCGGAACUGAGCUGCGACGUGCGUCGAACGCGAUGGACUUCACGACACUGAAAUCCCGCGUACCUCACACACGUUACUCUCGUAAGUUAUUUUCCAUGGGGUUUAGAUGGACCGACGGACACACCACGGUCAUUGUCGUUUUUCGCGAUAUUCGCGACGGAUAAAAAGAUGCGCGAUCGCGGGAUGAACAAAGUACGACGUGCCCGACUGUCUCCCCGACGGGAUUGAGGUUACUUUUCGAGAAUGUAGAAGGGGGGAAGGGGGAAAGCGGCUCGCCGGUCACCACGGUACGAGUCUACUUUUCGGGAUAAUAGCGGCGGUAAAAAACGCAAGUGAGGCUCGCGGGCGUCGCUUUCGAGAUCUUGGUUAAUGCGUCGGCAGAACGAGGAACGCGAAAUCACCGUCGGACAAGCAACACUGCAGAAUUGAGCCGCGACAUCGCGGACUGACGAACGCAUCAAGGUCAUCGCAGUUGCCCUGCGAUCGCGAAAUAAGCAAUGUGACGUCCAUCGGCGAUGAGACUGACAUGAUUAUGGAAUAUUUGGAAAGAAUGGGAAGAGAGAAAACGGCCUUCUCGGUGCGAGCGAAUUUUUCGAGAGAGAGAGAGAGAGAGAGAGGGACGAGGAACAGUCGCGAAACAAGUGCACUUCACACACGAUGUCUCUCACGGUCGUUUCUCAGAAAUACGAAGAAAUGUUUGUCGGAUAUUUGGAAAAGACGAAUCGGAGCGAUCGACUUUUAGUGGUAACACAAUUCACUGCAAGUUCCAGAAAGAAAAAGCCACUGAUCCCCGGCGGAACACACUGGUCAAAACACUGGCAACUGUGAAUACAACACGCAUUCGUGUCACCGCGGUGAGACUGACAGUCAUUUCCAAAGGCCAAGAGGUGACGAUGCACAUGCAUUGCGCGAGUGAUGAUAGUGGGAAUAUAAUCAAAGACACAGGAGCUACAACAGAAGGAAGGAAAGGAACACCGGAAGCAGAGAGAAAGAGGCCAAUAAUGACGCAUCGACCGCAGAGAGAAGGAGGCCAAUGAUGAUGCAUCAACCAGUGAAUGAGUUACUUGUAUUGGGAUUAUUAUCGUAGCUUUUAGUGACUGUAAUUUGAUCAGCAGAGAGAAAAAGGCCAAUGAUGACUAUAUGUUGCAGCAGAGAGAAAGAGACCAAUGAUGAUGCAUCGACCGGGCACGCGUAUUCACGCGUAGAUGAAGACGUCACUUACACCCUCGAGACUUUUGGCAGUCCCGCGAGGAAUUCCACUAGGCGCUGCAGAAAAUCCUUAAAAGCCGUAGUUGCCAAGUUUUAAAAUACAACGCCAGGCUAUGGGACGACGCGUUGUCCUCUUCUUCGUAAGAUCAAAGUGACACGUAAUCAAUCAAGCACGUAACUAUUAAAGAACAAUACGGAAUUUUGUAGAAAAAACGCGGAAUGAAAUAUGUUACUUUAUUAUUUAAUAAUAAAAUAUAAAAAGAUACAAUCUACAUGAAAGAAUUAAAAUGGUUUUUUUCUGUAACCUAAUAUCAUAAAUCACAAAUUUUUUAAAAAUAAUAUCUGACGAGAAUUGCAGAAUCAAUGAAAAUUCAAUUCAAUUUUGUAAAAAUUAUUCGACCGUAAAUUGAUUGGUAUGCAAACUAAUAACUUAAAAAUUAGUCUGAAAUAUAGUUUCAAAGGAGAAUGUCUAUUAGUAUCGUCUUUGACACUAUCUAAUUAAUUAUUGGCUUUUUAGAUUGAAGAAAAUGGGAAAUGUAAAUUAUGUGAAGUAACGUAAAUGAAUGUUGUUGGAAAUAGCGCGUGCUUUUAAAACAACCUUCACAUCGCUCAACGGCUCGUAUUAUGCGGCCCGUCCGAGCGCGAGUCCGCUUCUGCAUAGGCUAUAAACUGCCCGUUUAGCGGACGUAUCAAUAUUGGCGCAAAAAUCGUUGAUGCAACGCGCGGGAUGGGCCUCCAUUAGAGCCGAUCGUUUCCCUCGUAUCCUGUCGGGCAUGCCGUUUUUCAGGCGAUCUACUGUGCGCGAGAGAGCACAAAGCAGAGGGGGUCCGUCUCGACACCGUUGUUUCGGUCGGCCGGAAUUGCGUGUUGGCAGCAGCAAAUGCGUUACGGUCUAUCAACUUUUAUCCGAAACGUGCCGUCCGCCACCGUGCCCGUAAGCCGUGGGGACCGCGCUGAACCGGAGGUGUUUUGGGCUCGUGCCCGGAUUUGCAUGAUAUGGUAAUUUUUCUCGAUACGCGACAGCAGUGUCACACGAGCGUCCACACGAUAUCUCUCUCUCUCUCUCUUUCUCUUUCUCUUUUUCUCUCUUUCUGCUUCUGUCUGUUCCUCUUCUCCGGUCCAUGCAACGUAUGGCGCAUACACGCUACUGUAUCACCGUGGACCCCGGAGGCGCAUCUAGACGCGACGAAUUUUAGAUCGAGAGAUAGAUCUUCGUAUGCGAGCCACGAAUAAUCCCGCAUGCUGCGAAAUUCAGAUGAGGAGAGAGAACGCUGCGAUUUGUAUCGCUCGCCGGUGUGUUUUGCAUCGCAGUUUGCGACGUACAAUUUCCCCCUUUGACAUGUUAACACGCCAUCGUUCUGUGGUUGAAAUCCCACGUUGUAGAAGGAAACAAGAAAUGUAAAAGUGCAAAUGACGACGAUUCCGUUUAUAUCGUCGGUACAUUAGUUUCUCGCGUAAUUUUACCGCGAAUUGAAAUUGAAUGUGAGCUGCUGUCUAUAUGCGCAUUUUAUGCGAUUUUAUUCAAUAUAUUAAUAAGAUAAAGUGCAAUAGUCUUUUAUUUUAAAUUUAUCAAUCUAAUGAAGAAUAUAAUUACAAUGUAAAAAAAAAAACAAUUUUAAUUAAAAUUCUCAAUCGCUUUUAUUUCUCCAAGAUUUUAGUUUAAUAUAAACCACCUAAUUUUCAUUUGUCUUCUUGUUGCAUAACUCAGAGAGAGAGAGAGAGAGAGAGAGAUACGCACCUCUUACAUAAAAAUACACGGCACAUAGAAUAAAUAGAAUUCUUUUCUGGGGCGGCGCGAAUUAUACAUCGUUUAAAGUGAGCUUUAUUAUUGUGUAUACAUCGUAUUUUAGAUUUUCGCCACUUUCGCGACUUCGCUUAUGUAAUCGAAAGCGUUAUUACUUACGGAAUAGCAACGCUAAUUCAGAAGUGUAGGCAGAACAAAUAAAUGGACUGAUUGCGUGUAUAUAGGUCUAGCUCAAUGAGCGAGCGUGGUGUUCUAAGCUUCGACGAACAUAUUGGGUCACGUAUUGGAACCGGCGCGAUCACUAUCGCGCGAAUAGACUAGCAGAAAUUGAAUUGCACUUGCGGAGACUCUAUACGUGCCAUUGAAUAGUGUGUAACUCGCCAUUACCGCGUCAAAUACGGGUAUACGCUAAAGGAAUGAUUUAAGUAAUUCAGAAACUCUGUCGGCCGCUUUACGUCUAAGGAGACGUCUCGUUGUUUGCAUUAAAUUUAGCGAGGCGUUUAAGGAGGGAAACUCCGUGAAUGAGAACGAUUUAAAUUACAUUUUAAUCUUACGUUUGAGAGAUAAACUUUUGAUACAAGAGAUCGCUCGCUAAUUUCUCGGUUGGCGAAUUUCUUUGUAAACGUUCCGUAAUUAUCUUUAACAUUUUAGCCGACAGCAUCGGUGCGUUGUAAUAUUUACGCAAAGAGAAACGCUUAUCGAUGUUUCAAAAAUAUGGAUAUAAUGAGUUCCUCUAAGUGAUUAAUCGAAUAAAUAUUUAUGCAUCGUGUAGGCAUAGCUGAGAUGCGCCGGAGCUUCGUAACUUGAAAGGAUGAAAUUAAGAUGCCGUCCUUUGAAUCGGUAGAGAUGCCGCGCCGAGAAAGAGAGCCGCGUCGUUUCCCAAAGAAACGAGCGGCGGAGCUUGUACGCCGAGAAAGAGUCAUCGGGGGUAGGUGGCGGGGGGAGGAGGAAGCGCAGCCGCGCGUUUGGCGUCAGACGCCGUAUUAAUUUUUCAGGGCGCAUCAGAGAUGCGAGCGAAAAUUAACCCGGUGCAUGCGCGAUCGACUCUCAAAGACGGCAAGGUAUUUCAUAUCGUGUGCAUAAAUGCGUAAGGCGACCUCUGUUACGAAACGCAGGGGGAGAUCAACGCGCGGUGGCGCCUGUUUACAAAUUCUUUUGAGAACACGGUCAGACUGAUUAUUCCGCACGAGGCGAAGAGAGAAAGAGAAAGAGAGAGAGAGAGAGAGAACUCGAAAGAAUAAAUCACGGUGGGGCGCGAGUGCGCGCACGGGCCCCGUAUAUUACGCGAAUAAUCACGAUUGAUCAUCGCGGGGCGGAAGAAAACUGCGGGAGAUGAUAUAUGAACGGCGAAACGUACGGCGCGCACGUGGUUUCAAUGAUUCCAUUUACGUGAACGAUAAUACGCCCUCAGUCUCUCCUCGUAUCGAGACUCCCUUUCUUCUUUCUCCUCUAUUUCUUUUUUCCUUUCCUUUUUCUCUUCCUCUCUCUCCCUCUCUCUCUCUCUCUCUCUUUUUACACCGCGCUUAGAACCGCGACUACGAAAGGGUGCUUUCACCCUCACUCGUACAGGAGGAUCUGACAAAUUAAAUUUCACGUGCCUCUACCUUCGCGUCGCGGAGAAAAAAAGACAAUUCUGUGAAAUUACUUAUGUCUUCUCAACUUCGGAAGAAGGGUAAUUUUGUCGGCGUGUGUUAUUCCGGUCACCACUGCCGUUCUACCUUUCCUUCUGAUUUGCUCCGACGCCUUGACGUCGCCUUGUGAACCAGGCAAUCUGCAGGGCUGGAGCGCAGAUGCCUUGGUAGAGUUCUGCAAAUGCGAAAGGGACGAAAAUAAUGUUAGCGGACGUCAUUCGGGACGAGAGAACAUUUGAAUUCGACGAGAUUCGUAGAAUCUCUUUCACGAUCUAUAUGUUAUCUAUCUCUUUUAUUUAUUUACAACACAGUGUUGCUACGAAGUAACAAAAAUAAUAAUAGGAAAAAACUGAAAAAAAGACUUUUGAGGAAGAUAAAUUAAUCCGAGUUAAAAGCGAGGGAGAGAAGUAAUUUUUAUUUCUUCGCGCACGCAAGAAAUUUUCUUAAGAUAGCCAUCUAAGCAUCUUUAAUAACCAUUUUUCAUUGAUUGCCAUAUUUGGAAUUUUGUAAUAAAUGUCUCGCUGUAAAAAAAUUUCAAGUAAUUAAAUUAAAUUCUUUUAUAAUAUAAUACACGAGAGGCAAAGACACAAAACUCAAUCAACGUUUAAAAGGCACAAUGUAAAAAGUGUAAAAAUAAAAAUAUAAGGUAUCAUUAAUUACUUGAGAGCAUCGUUUUUUAAUGUAACAUAAACGCUCAGAAAAUCUCAUAUUUGUUUUUCCUUUACGAGAGCACACAAGCUUAACGUAUUUAGUAUAAGGGACGAUGGUUUUCGUUUAUAAAACUUUUUAAUUCGGCCCUGGGCACAGGCUAGCUCUGUCAAGCGUAGCCACAUUCAGACAUCGUCACGGGGAGGGGGAAAACGGCGGCGGGUUGUCGGAAACAGCCGGUGGCAAUAAUGCGAGAUGGACGUGAUAGGGUGCGAUCGAUUUUCUCGAUCUCGGGGGAACGGACUUCUUAUUAUUCCGACUGAGGCCGAGGCACUCCCGAGGAAGCGUUGUUAUUCGAUUCCGGCCCGGCGUCGUCGCUCAUUCCCUCGAAUCCGCAGCCGCCGCCGCAGCCACUACCCACCUUUCGCCCCUUAUUUCCUUAGCCUACUUCGUGGCCGUAAAAAUCCAAUUCAUCCCGGGACGCCGCGCCGGACAGGAAUAAGAGUAUUCCGUGAACGUCGUCGUAGAGUUGUCGUCGCGGCACGUUCGUAACGGCAUAACAAACCGCCGCCGUCCGUCGAAUGGAGUUUACCGCCGGCGGGAGAAAUUCGGCAAUCGAGAAUCGUUGACGUCAAAAGAUAUCCGGCGAGUUCACUACACGGCUAUAAAUCUAUACAGUGUGCCACGGUAAAUCGUGGCACAAUCGGUGAGGAAGCGCUUUCUUCGUGAAAGCAACUUAAAAAUCGCGAGAUAAAUUCUCUUUAUUGACUCGUAGAGAAAUUUUUCGAGAGAAACGGUGAUCUACUUAAAUGCUUUCGUUUGCGAAACCUUUAUACGUAAUCGAAGAAAAGCAAAUUGCAUCUUUUAAAAACUUUCAUAUCGAAAAUUAUAAAGACUUCAUUCGUUUGCACGCAUAAUCUCCUUUAACAAGGAGACCAAUCUGUCUCGGUCUGUCUUAUUAUUGGUGCAGCGAAGAGCCAUUAUCGCGUUUCAAAAUCAUCGUUAUUUAGAAACGAUGCGGCCUGGCGGAGGGGAGAAGAAGUUUCACGGUUCACCGGCUAAAAGUGCCCUCACAAAAAGACCAUUAUAAAUUCCAUUAAUACUUGCCGGGCAUUCGGGCCAAGCCGGGAGUUUAAUUAUCUCUCGUGGGCAGCCUUCUCUCCGUCCGCGUGGCGCGGUAAUAAGUAAAAGGGGACGGGUACCGCUGAAUUAAGUAAGACUCGAUAAAGCGAUCGUCAAGAAUUAACAGGUCAGCUCGCGUUCCCUCGGUAGAGGUUACUUUUCAAUUUACGACAUGCAUUACCGCAGCUUUUUCGACACCGCCAUACGUUAACUUAACUGUAGGUUAUAUAUCAGACGCGAUUCUUUAACUUUUACGGGGAAGAUGUACGAUCGUCAGCAUUUAAUCUUGGUAGCGUUGGAACGGAUGCUUGGUGGUACCAAUCAGCUUAAUUAACUGUAACCAAUCGAUUUAAUUGACUGUUGAUUAUUACUUAACACGCCGCAUUUUUCGAUUAAUCAAAUUUUAUGUAUUUACUUUUCUUUCCAAUGUUGUUCUAUUUUCGCGGUUUUCGUGUUGUUUAAUGUCUUUUAAUAUUAUGUUAAUCCUUCGCAGACCAAUCGAACUCGUUUCAAACUCAAUUUUUUCUAUUUUGCCGAUCUGCUUCAAUUUUAAACAUGUGUAGAAAAAAGUAUAAGAAACAUUUCGGUUCAUAUCGUAUUCAUAAAUGUUAAAAGUUUUUUUUCAGAAUUUUUUUCAGUUUUUUUUACACCCCAAAAACCCUUUGAAAAGUGUAACUGUUUACUAGUGACCCAGUUUGAUUAAGCAGUGAAAAACAGUUGGUCUGCAGGGGAUAUUAAUAUAUACGAAUCAUUCAUAGUCAAUUUGUGAUAUUUAAUACACUUGAAACAACAUCAUUUAAAAUAGCGAGUGAAAAUUACUGUUAUUAUAAUCAUUAUCGAGCAUGCCGGUUGUAAUAGACGAACAAACAAUGUGCUAUAAAUGAAAAAUGUGAAGAGAUAGUUUCGACUUUCGUCUCGUCAGAAAUUCUUAAAAGCUCUUUUUAUUUAUUUAUCCAAAGAGUUUACCUUUCAAACGGUAUACAAAGUAUGCGAAAGAUAGAGAUAGAAAUAGAUAGAUAAAUCGAGAGAGAAAGAGAGAGAGAGAGAAGGAGCUGUGGAAAUAUGUUUAUAAAGUAAGAACUCUUUUUGCUUUACGACGGUGCGUAGCGGCGGCUGGCGAGGUAACGAUUUUCUUCCGUCGUGAAUAUACUUUAUUUUCUUAGGAUGCAGCCUGAUCAGAACAGAAGUUACCAACUACUUUAUUGUAAAGUUCCCGACUGGGAUAACGAUCGGUUAGUAACGCCUGGUCUCUCUUUUAUUACCGGAUUUAUAAAGUAGGAUGCUUACGUCAGCGGAAAUGCAACGACAAAGAAGCUUCGCGAUGUACAUUUUCUGUCGAACCAAAUUUUUGUUCGCGAUCCUAUUAUAAUGAAAUUGAUAUUUUCGAGAAAUUACGCUGCAGCACAUAAAUCAAGCGCUCUCAAGAGUCAAACUGGAAAUUUCAUUAUUUUAAUUGAAGAUUGCAGUUAAUAUUCCUUUUAUGAAAUUUGCGUCAAGUUUAAUAGGUUAAUUUAAAUGAACGAAUUGUCAUGAGUGAUCGGAAUUCGGGAAUUUUCCGUUAAUAACCUAGAAGAGAUUUUAAGUAAAUACAUUGUUUCUAUUUUAUAUAUUAUAAAAUAUGCAUUACUCAGAAAUUAUAUAAAUUGAGAAUUUGUUACACAAUGCAACGAUAUAUAAUCAAGAUAGAAACCUGCGAAACAUCCAAUUUUUACACAUGCUCAGAACAAGAGAUCACAAAGUUCUCUUUCUCAAGAGCGUUUUAUGAGAGUUCUACUAGUUCUUUGGGAGAUUCGAUCACAAUGGGGUGCCAUUAUCAACAUACUUCAAAGGCCAAUCGAGACUUUGGCUUAUCGCCUAUUAUCAGCUUAACUCGUUUCCAUUUAACUUUCGUAACACCAGGUCGUUCCGUUUUUCAACUAAUCUACAUGCGGCUCAUAAACUCUAAUCCAGUUACAGAUAUAAAAAAUUUUCCAAAGUUUGAUUUUUUAAUUAGCUAUUUUUGUUAAAAAAAUAAUGCUAUAACUAUAUUUCUGUUUCUCUUAUUAUUUUUAUGAUUUUCAAUCUACUGAUUUUCAAAUAUACAAAAAAUAUCUAACCAUAUAUAUGUAACACAAUUAAAUGUAUUUUUAUUAAUAAUUAAAUGAUAAUUAAUUUGCUACAUGUAAUUAAGAAACUAGCAACUACUGUGAUUGUCCAAUUAUAUUUUAUUUGUGUACUGUUUGCAAUUUACGAAUAGUGCACAAUUUCAAUGAUACAUAUUAUAUGCUUUAUUAAAUUCAGCUAAAGAUUCAAUUCUUAUCGCACAAUUACUCGUUUGCAUAUGUCACCUCUUUGUUCACCUCGAAUUAUUUCUGGUGUCGAAUGACGUUUCAAUUAUAGCAGUCUCCGGCGCGCCGACUGUGUUUUCAAUGGAAUGAAAAGUAAAAUCGCGGGAAUGGGAGCGGGAUUGAGUUUAUAAAUCCCGCGAUGCUAUCUCAUUGCGAGGCGUGCAUACACUCCACAUUUCCACUGUUCUCGCAACUCCCCAGCGCGAGAGGAUUAAAUCCGCGGGAUGUUUGGCAACGCAACCCGUCCGCUCAUCCCAUAAAACACUUUUAUCCAAUACGUAUCCAAGAUUUCCAUAAAUUUGCGCGGUCCUCCGGCGCGUCCGCGAUAAAGCAUCGUACCCCGGGCGGAAAUGCGCCAUGAAAAUAUUCCGCGGUAACAUCUCGGGGCUGCAUCACGCAUGGCCGACUCGCGGAGUUCUAACGGAUUUUCUCUAUUUUUUUUUCCUUUUUGCGACAAAGAAGCUGCUACUUCCUUUGCCUUUCGACGUGACACGGUUCGUUUAUUCGAAAGCAAAGGAUCGCUCACAUUAGUCAUGAAUCCCCCUCCCCCUCUCUUUCCUCCUUUUGAGAAAAGAAAGGCUGUUCCUCUCGAUCAUGUGCGGUCGGCCGUAAUAAAACUUUCGGAGACCCGGUAAUAAAAAAACUGGCCGGAGGAAACGACUGUAAUGGACAAAGGAUCAAGGAUGGAUUAUUUGCGGAAAUGUUAAGUGAAACAGCCAGCCAGUUUGAGAAAAAUUGACAUAUUUGUUCUUAGCAAAUAUGAGAUACGUCGCGUUUAAUGAACUUUCUGUCACAGUGAUUCACUUAAAUCUUUUGAGACUUUUUAGGACUUUGAAAUAUCUCUAGGCAAGUAAUAUAAUAACGUACAGCUGGCUUUUGUCUGGAAUUCUUCCUGCACCGCUUUUGCGUUUGAAUUUUUUAAAAUAUACUUUUUGUGUUUAUUUUUAAAAACCUGAAUGAAAAGCAACACAAUGAAUUUCAUAUAUUGCAGCAUUUUAAUACAUUGUUAUAUAAAAAAAAAAAAAAAAAA